RNAcentral lists this ribosomal RNA (600 nucleotides) under uncultured Alphaproteobacteria bacterium. Its description in RNAcentral is "bacterial SSU rRNA". It matches the Rfam family "Bacterial small subunit ribosomal RNA", at positions 54 to 691 of the family's 1533-position model. Lineage: Bacteria; Pseudomonadati; Pseudomonadota; Alphaproteobacteria. The record is from RNAcentral.
CAUGCAAGUCGAGCAAGAAGCUAACUUCGGUUAGUGGACAGCGGCGCACGGGUGAGUAACGCGUGGGAAUUUACCUUUCGGCGGGGGACAACAGUUGGAAACGACUGCUAAUACCGCAUACGCCCUACGGGGGAAAGAUUUAUCACCGAAAGAUAGGCCCGCGCUAGAUUAGGUAGUUGGUAGGGUCAAAGCCUACCAAGCCGACGAUCUAUAGCUGGUUUGAGAGAACGAUCAGCCACACUGGAACUGAGACACGGUCCAGACUCCUACGGGAGGCAGCAGUGGGGAAUCUUGCACAAUGGGCGAAAGCCUGAUGCAGCCAUGCCGCGUGAGUGAGAAGGCCUUCGGGUUGUAAAACUCUUUUAGAUGUGAAGAUGAUGACGGUAACAUCAGAAAAAGCACCGGCUAACUUCGUGCCAGCAGCCGCGGUAAUACGAAGGGUGCUAGCGUUGUUCGGAAUUACUGGGCGUAAAGAGCGUGUAGGCGGCUUAGCAAGUUAGAGGUGAAAUCCCAGGGCUCAACCCUGGAACUGCCUUUGAUACUGCUAAGCUUGAGAUCGUGAGGGGAUAGCGGAAUACCCAGUGUAGAGGUGAAAUUCGU